RNAcentral lists this transfer RNA (75 nucleotides) under Thermosipho sp. (in: thermotogales). RNAcentral describes it as "Thermosipho sp. (in: Bacteria) tRNA-Glu". It matches the Rfam family "tRNA". From Rfam's summary of the family: Transfer RNA (tRNA) molecules are approximately 80 nucleotides in length. Their secondary structure includes four short double-helical elements and three loops (D, anti-codon, and T loops). The record is from RNAcentral. Lineage: Bacteria; Thermotogati; Thermotogota; Thermotogae; Thermotogales; Fervidobacteriaceae. RNAcentral also lists the same sequence under 1 other name.
GGCCCCAUAGGAUAACGGCUAGUCCGUCGGAUUCUCAGUCCGAAGGUCGGGGUUCGAUUCCCCGUGGGGCUGCCA